RNAcentral lists this ribosomal RNA (230 nucleotides) under uncultured bacterium. RNAcentral's name for it is "partial 16S ribosomal RNA". It matches the Rfam family "Bacterial small subunit ribosomal RNA", at positions 562 to 791 of the family's 1533-position model. The record is from RNAcentral.
AAAGGGCGCGUAGGCGGAUAGUUUAGUCAGAGGUAAAAGCCCAGGGCUCAACCUUGGAACUGCCUUUGAUACUGGCUAUCUUGAGUACGGGAGAGGUGUGUGGAACUCCGAGUGUAGAGGUGAAAUUCGUAGAUAUUCGGAAGAACACCAGUGGCGAAGGCGACACACUGGCCCGUUACUGACGCUGAGGCGCGAAAGCGUGGGGAGCAAACAGGAUUAGAUACCCCAGU